Molecule: non-coding RNA, 148 nt
Filed under: Nomascus leucogenys (northern white-cheeked gibbon)
Lineage: Eukaryota; Metazoa; Chordata; Mammalia; Primates; Hylobatidae
Source: Rfam by way of RNAcentral
GCCAGGCAUGGUGGUGCAUGCCUGUAAUCCCAACUACUCGGGAGGCUGAGGCAAGAGAAUUGCUUGAACCUGGGAGGUGGAGGUUGCAGUGAGCCAAGAUCGCGCCACUGCGCUCCAGCCUGGGUAACAAAGCAAGACUCUGUCUCAA